UCUUGAUUCGUCUAGUGGUUAGGAUACCUGCUUGUCAUUUAUUUUCGACAAAAUACGCAGGUGGCCGGGGUUCAAUUCCCCGAUCGAGAG
This 90-nucleotide transfer RNA is filed under the name Eutypa lata. Its description in RNAcentral is "tRNA-Asp". It matches the Rfam family "tRNA". From Rfam's summary of the family: Transfer RNA (tRNA) molecules are approximately 80 nucleotides in length. Their secondary structure includes four short double-helical elements and three loops (D, anti-codon, and T loops). The record is from RNAcentral. RNAcentral also lists the same sequence under 1 other name. Lineage: Eukaryota; Fungi; Ascomycota; Sordariomycetes; Xylariales; Diatrypaceae.